UUGAGGCGCCGGGUAGCGAUCCCGGUGCCUCUCGCCUACUAGGCGAGCGCUCUACCAUCUCAGCUACGCCCCC
This 73-nucleotide transfer RNA is filed under the name Araneus ventricosus. Its description in RNAcentral is "tRNA-Thr". Lineage: Eukaryota; Metazoa; Arthropoda; Arachnida; Araneae; Araneidae. The record is from RNAcentral.